AGCCCGGUGGUGUAGCGGUCAAGCACAGGUGAGAUGCCUCUUGAAUAUCGGCCUUUGGAGCCGGUGACGCCAGUUCGAAUCUGGCCCGGGCUACCA
This 96-nucleotide transfer RNA is filed under the name Nitrososphaerales archaeon. RNAcentral's name for it is "tRNA-Gln". It matches the Rfam family "tRNA". Rfam says of the family: Transfer RNA (tRNA) molecules are approximately 80 nucleotides in length. Their secondary structure includes four short double-helical elements and three loops (D, anti-codon, and T loops). Lineage: Archaea; Thermoproteati; Nitrososphaerota; Nitrososphaeria; Nitrososphaerales. The record is from RNAcentral.